AACGAACGCUGGCGGCAGGCCUAACACAUGCAAGUCGAGCGGACCCUUCGGGGUUAGCGGCGGACGGGUGAGUAACGCGUGGGAAUAUGCCCUUCUCUGCGGAAUAGCCUCGGGAAACUGAGAGUAAUACCGCAUACGCCCUUUGGGGGAAUGAUUUAUCGGGGAAGGAUUAGCCCGCGUUGGAUUAGGUAGUUGGUGGGGUAAUGGCCUACCAAGCCGACGGUCCAGAGCUGGUUUGGGAGGAUGAUCAGCCACACUGGGACUGGGACACGGCCCAGACGCCGACGGGAGGCAGCGGUGGGGAAUCUUAGACAAUGGGGGCAACCCUGAUCGAGCCAGGCCGCGUGAGUGAUGAAGGCCUUAGGGUUGUAAAGCUCUUUCAGCUGGGAAGAAAAUGACGGUACCAGCAGAAGAAGCCCCGGCUAACUCCGUGCCAGCCGCCGCCGUAA
This 449-nucleotide ribosomal RNA is filed under the name uncultured bacterium. RNAcentral's name for it is "partial 16S ribosomal RNA". It matches the Rfam family "Bacterial small subunit ribosomal RNA", at positions 29 to 523 of the family's 1533-position model. The record is from RNAcentral.